GACGAACGCUGGCGGCGUGCUUAACACAUGCAAGUCGUACGGUAAGGCCCUUUCCUGGGUACACUAGUGUCGAACGGGGGAGUAACACUUGAGUAACCUGCCCACAACUUUGGGAUAACGCUAAGAUACUGGUGCUGAUACUAGAUAUGUACUCCUGCUGCAAGGGGGUGGUUGGAAAGCUCCGGCGGUUGUUGAUGGACUCGCGGCCUAUCAGCUUGUUGGUGGGGUAGUGGCCUACCAAAGCGGCUACGGGUGGCAGGCCUGAGAGGGUGACCGGCGACAUUGGGACUGAGAUACGGCCCAGACUCCUACGGGAGGCAGAAGGGGGGAAUAUUGAACAAUGGGCGCAAGCCUGAUGAAGCAACGCCGCGUGCGGGAUGACGGCCUUAGGGUUGUAAACCGUUUUCAGCAGGGACGAAGCUUUUUGUGACGGUACCUGAAGAAGAAGCACCGGCUAACUACGUG
RNAcentral lists this ribosomal RNA (465 nucleotides) under uncultured bacterium. RNAcentral's name for it is "partial 16S ribosomal RNA". It matches the Rfam family "Bacterial small subunit ribosomal RNA", at positions 28 to 507 of the family's 1533-position model. The record is from RNAcentral.